GUACCUUCAAGCUCUGCUUGGUGUUGGGUGUUUGUCUCGCCUUUGCGUGUAGACUCGCCUCAAAACAAUUGGCAGCCGGCGUAUUGAUUUCGGAGCGCAGUACAUCUCGCGCUUUGCACUCAUAACGACGACGUCCAAAAGUACAUUUUUACAC
This 154-nucleotide unclassified non-coding RNA is filed under the name Didymella aurea. RNAcentral's name for it is "partial internal transcribed spacer 2". The record is from RNAcentral. Lineage: Eukaryota; Fungi; Ascomycota; Dothideomycetes; Pleosporales; Didymellaceae. RNAcentral also lists the same sequence under 3 other names.